CAGUAGCCGCGGGAAUACGUAGGUGGCAAGCGUUGUCCGGAAUUAUUGGGCGUAAAGGGCUCGCAGGCGGUUUCUUAGGUCUGAUGUGAAAGCUCCCGGCUCAACCGGGGAGGGUCAUUGGAAACUGGGAAACUUGAGUGCAGAAGAGGAGAGUGGAAUUCCACGUGUAGCGGUGAAAUGCGUAGAGAUGUGGAGGAACACCAGUGGCGAAGGCGACUCUCUGGUCUGUAACUGACGCUGAGGAGCGAAAGCGUGGGAGCGAACAGGAUUAGAUACCCCCGUAGUCCCUGUCUCUUAUACC
This 301-nucleotide ribosomal RNA is filed under the name uncultured bacterium. RNAcentral's name for it is "partial 16S ribosomal RNA". It matches the Rfam family "Bacterial small subunit ribosomal RNA", at positions 509 to 808 of the family's 1533-position model. The record is from RNAcentral.